CUACGGGUUGCUGCAGUGGGGAAUAUUGCACAAUGGGCGCAAGCCUGAUGCAGCGACGCCGCGUGAGUGAAGAAGUAUUUCGGUAUGUAAAGCUCUAUCAGCAGGGAAGAUGAUGACAGUACCUGACUAAGAAGCUCCGGCUAAAUACGUGCCAGCAGCCGCGGUAAUACGUAUGGAGCAAGCGUUAUCCGGAUUUACUGGGUGUAAAGGGAGUGUAGGUGGCUUUGUAAGUCAGAUGUGAAAGCCCAGGGCUCAACCCUGGGACUGCAUUUGAAACUACAUGGCUUGAGUGCAGGAGAGGUAAGUGGAAUUCCUAGUGUAGCGGUGAAAUGCGUAGAUAUUAGGAAGAACACCAGUGGCGAAGGCGGCUUACUGGACUGUAACUGACACUGAGGCUCGAAAGCGUGGGGAGCAAACAGGAUUAGAUACCCUUGUAGUC
This 439-nucleotide ribosomal RNA is filed under the name uncultured bacterium. Its description in RNAcentral is "partial 16S ribosomal RNA". It matches the Rfam family "Bacterial small subunit ribosomal RNA", at positions 339 to 795 of the family's 1533-position model. The record is from RNAcentral.